CCUACGGGAGGCAGCAGUGAGGAAUAUUGGUCAAUGGGCGGGAGCCUGAACCAGCCAAGUCGCGUGAGGGACGAUGGUCCUAUGGAUUGUAAACCUCUUUUGUCGGGGAACAAAGUCGCCCACGGGUGGGCGGCUGAGUGUACCCGAAGAAAAAGCAUCGGCUAACUCCGUGCCAGAAGCCGCGGUAAUGCGGAGGAUGCGAGCGUUAUCCGGAUUUAUUGGGUUUAAAGGGUGCUUAGGCGGACAGUCAAGUCAGCGGUAAAAAUGCGGUGUCCAAGGCCGUACAGCCGUUGAAACUGGCAGGCUGGAGUGGGCGUGAAGUAGGCGGAAUGCGUGGUGUAGCGGUGAAAUGCAUAGAUAUCACGCAGAACUCCGAUUGCGAAGGCAGCAUACCGGCGCCCGACUGACGCUGAGGCACGAAAGCGUGGGUAUCGAACAGGAUUAGAUACCCGUGUAGUC
Molecule: ribosomal RNA, 459 nt
Filed under: uncultured bacterium
Lineage: Bacteria
Description: partial 16S ribosomal RNA
Rfam family: Bacterial small subunit ribosomal RNA
Source: RNAcentral